Molecule: long non-coding RNA, 955 nt
Organism: Hyla sarda
Lineage: Eukaryota; Metazoa; Chordata; Amphibia; Anura; Hylidae
Exons: 4
Source: RefSeq, a predicted model, not a curated record
UUUCUUAUGGUGAUAUCGCGGUCUCCGCGCGUUGCAGGGAGCUUGCUGCGGAGGUUAAACUGAAGAUUCUAUUGUCCGGGAAUGAUAGCGGUUGCAAAUAGUGUCGCUCCUGCCGGAAAGCGUCUCACCGGCGUGGUGCAAGCCGAGCAGCGGAACAGGUUUGCGGUAAUGCCUGGGCACUGUGCAGUGACGUCACUUAGUGUCAUAGGGCAUGGGGAUUAGAUCCUAUGCAUUUCGGAUAGUGCGCUAUCCUUCCUCAGGGAUCCCUGAGCGGACACCGGCUCGUCACUGAGCGUGGAGACACGGCAGCCGGUACGCGGUCUUUGAGGAAGCCGGAAACCGCGAUAUCACCAUAAGAAACACGGAGGCACUGUAUUACGACAGUAGUUACAGCGUCCAGCAUUUUUGUGUACAAUUGGACAUUGCUGCAGAACACCUAUAUAGCACUUUUAAUGGAAUCCCUUACCAACUAUGAAUACUCCCCUAUCAACUCCCACACCCAGGACAAAACGGAUCAUCACUUGUUCAUAACAAAGACUCAGGAGGCGGCAAGGCCCGGCAUUACCAAUGUGGACCUGCAAGAGAGCAAGAUGUGACUGCUGGAGCUCCAAACACGGUGGCAAAUUCAUACAGUCAUCUGCACAUCCGGCCUGCACAGCCCUGCCAUACUGCCAACCGCAGCUCAGUCCUGGGACCACAUCCAUAGUAGCCCAUCACUGGUUGUGAAGUCACCAAAAGGUCAUCCAAAAAUAGGAAAAUGUGAGGAUUAAAAACUAAAAAAAAAAUAAGUAGAAAACAAAUAAAGCACGUCAUUACAUAUAAACGUAAGAAAGAUCUGCUGGGAGCUGUAACUCUUUUUAUUAUAAAAAUGAAAAACACAUCUGAUACAAAACAUAAAACAAAAACAAGCUUAACCAGCUAUAACAAAAAUAAAAUUACAAAACAAACUCUGCCU